This is a long non-coding RNA of Pseudopipra pipra, 925 nucleotides long. RefSeq lists it as uncharacterized. The record is from RefSeq and is a predicted model, not a curated record. The transcript is spliced from 2 exons. NCBI's taxonomy places the organism in Eukaryota, Metazoa, Chordata, Aves, Passeriformes, Pipridae.
AUGAAACCCAGCGCGGGGGUAAAAGCCGCCGCUUCCCUCCCUGGCACUGCCGGGCUCGCACAGCGCCCCGCUGGAGCUGCCCGGCGCCUCACGCCAAGCCCGGACACGACCCUUCCCCCCGCGCCCACAACGUGUCAUUUUCAACAACGACCACGACUACGACAAAAAGGGGGGAGGCAGGGAGAGGGAGGCGAUUUCCCCGUCCCGUAGGGAAGGGCAGCCCCCGGCCCGGCCCCUCACCACGGGGCUGCCGUGAUCCAUGGCCGCGGCCGCGCCGCCGCCGCUCCCGCCCGCCUUUAAGGCGCCGUUGCCAUGGGGACAGCCCGGCCCCGCCCGGCCGUCCCUGCCCUCCCACAUCCCUGAAAACCCUGGGGCCCUGGGAGCGCUGGGUGCUACACCCACGCACCGAAAGCAAGACCCCAAAAGAGAGGCGGGCCGAAAGGAGGUGUGGGAUCCGAGCUCUGGCCUGGAGCUUACCCUCAUGAGCGGAGGGGAAAGGAGGAUUUGUCUGGAGAACUAUAGCUGCUCCACGGUAGCUAUGUAGUUACAGUGCUGUCUAGCUUGUGAAGAGGAGACUCACCCAUUAAGCUUUCAUUUUUAAGGCUAACUUACACAUCCUGAAAAAUGAAAAUAUUUUAAUGAAAAUACUGACAGACCCUUAAUUAUACAGCCACACUAACACCUACAAAAAAAAGAAGCAACAUCCAUAACCGUAUUCUAAACUGCAUUUUCAAAAGUGAGACAAAUACAAUUGCCUAUUGAAGUAAUUUUGCUCUGGCAGAAAAUAUGUUUAAUGACACUGUCUGGGUCUUGAAUUAAACAGCAGUUACAUAUGCAGCUGUUCUGUAUGCCCUGCAUCUUCACAAGGAAAGGAAGAGCCAUGUUGCUUUUAUUUAAAUAAUAAAACAUGUUUUUUUAAACCACA